RNAcentral lists this ribosomal RNA (305 nucleotides) under uncultured bacterium. RNAcentral describes it as "bacterial SSU rRNA". It matches the Rfam family "Bacterial small subunit ribosomal RNA", at positions 337 to 634 of the family's 1533-position model. The record is from RNAcentral.
ACCUACGGGGCGCAGCAGUAGGGAAUCUUCCACAAUGGGCGAAAGCCUGAUGGAGCAACGCCGCGUGGGUGAAGAAGGUCUUCGGAUCGUAAAACCCUGUUGUUAGAGAAGAAAGUGCGUGGGAGUAACUGUUCACAUUUCGACGGUAUCUAACCAGAAAGCCACGGCUAACUACGUGCCAGCAGCCGCGGUAAUACGUAGGUGGCAAGCGUUAUCCGGAUUUAUUGGGCGUAAAGGGAACGCAGGCGGUCUUUUAAGUCUGAUGUGAAAGCCUUCGGCUUAACCGGAGUAGUGCAUUGGAAACU